UACGUAGGGGGCAAGCGUUGUCCGGAUUUAUUGGGCGUAAAGAGCGUGUAGGCGGCCUGAAAGGUCAGCUGUGAAAACUCGAGGUUCAACCUCGAGACGUCGGUUGAAACCAUCUGGCUAGAGUCCGGAAGAGGAGAGUGGAAUUCCCGGUGUAGCGGUGAAAUGCGCAGAUAUCGGGAAGAACACCCGUGGCGAAGGCGGCUCUCUGGGACGGUACUGACGCUGAGACGCGAAAGCGUGGGGAGCGAACAGG
Molecule: ribosomal RNA, 253 nt
Filed under: uncultured bacterium
Lineage: Bacteria
Description: partial 16S ribosomal RNA
Rfam family: Bacterial small subunit ribosomal RNA
Source: RNAcentral